This 228-nucleotide ribosomal RNA is filed under the name uncultured bacterium. Its description in RNAcentral is "partial 16S ribosomal RNA". It matches the Rfam family "Bacterial small subunit ribosomal RNA", at positions 103 to 334 of the family's 1533-position model. The record is from RNAcentral.
CGGGUGAGUAACACAUCGGAACAUACCCAGUCGUGGGGGAUAACACUUCGAAAGAAGUGCUAAUACCGCAUACGUCCUGAGGGAGAAAGCGGGGGAUCUUCGGACCUCGCGCGAUUGGAGUGGCCGAUGUCAGAUUAGCUAGUUGGUGGGGUAAAGGCCUACCAAGGCGACGAUCUGUAGCUGGUCUGAGAGGACGACCAGCCACACUGGGACUGAGACACGGCCCAG